Non-coding RNA from Caenorhabditis elegans, 21 nucleotides. The record is from Ensembl. NCBI's taxonomy places the organism in Eukaryota, Metazoa, Nematoda, Chromadorea, Rhabditida, Rhabditidae.
UCACGAGCUUUUUAUUAAAAA